GGGGCUAGCUAACUGCCAGUUCGAGCGAAGCGCUUAAGUCUGAUUCUUCGGAUGAAGGCUUUUGUGACUGAGCGGCGGACGGGUGAGUAACGCGUGGGCAACCUGCCUUACACAGGGGGAUAACAGUUAGAAAUGACUGCUAAUACCGCAUAAGACCACAGAGCUGCAUGGCUGAGUGGUAAAAACUCCGGUGGUGUAAGAUGGGCUCGCGUCCGAUUAGGUAGUUGGUGAGGUAACGGCCCACCAGGCCGACGAUCGGUAGCCGGACUGAGAGGUUGAACGGCCACAUUGGGACUGAGACACGGCCCAGACUCCUACGGGAGGCAGCAGUGGGGGAUAUUGCACAAUGGGGGAAACCCUGAUGCAGCGACGCCGCGCGUGGGAAGACGGUCUUCUGGAUUGUAAACCACUGUCCCCAGGGACGAAAAUGACGGUACCUGGGGAGGAAGCUCCGGCUAACUACGUGCCAGCAGCCGCGGUAAUACGUAGGGAGCAAGCGUUGUCCGGAAUUACUGGGUGUAAAGGGAGCGUAGGCGGGGAUGCAAGUUGGGUGUCAAAACUACCGGCUCAACCGAUAGUCGCACUCAAAACUGCAACUCUUGAGUGAAGUAGAGGCAGGCGGAAUUCCUAGUGUAGCGGUGAAAUGCGUAGAUAUUAGGAGGAACACCAGUGGCGAAGGCGGCCUGCUGGGCUUUUACUGACGCUGAGGCUCGAAAGUGUGGGGAGCAAACAGGAUUAGAUACCCUGGCAGUCCACACCGUANACGAUGAUUACUANGUGUGGGGGGUCUGACCCCCUCCGUGCCGGAGCAAACGCAAUAAGUAAUCCACCUGGGGAGUACGGCCGCAAG
Molecule: ribosomal RNA, 850 nt
Filed under: uncultured bacterium
Lineage: Bacteria
Description: bacterial SSU rRNA
Rfam family: Bacterial small subunit ribosomal RNA
Source: RNAcentral